GCCCAUGUAGCUCAGCAGGCAGAGCACAUCCAUGGUAAGGAUGGGGUCGCCGGUUCGAUUCCGGCCGUGGGCUCCA
Molecule: transfer RNA, 76 nt
Filed under: Bacillota bacterium
Lineage: Bacteria; Bacillati; Bacillota
Also listed under: 3 other names
Description: Firmicutes bacterium (anaerobic digester metagenome) tRNA-Thr
Rfam family: tRNA
About the family: Transfer RNA (tRNA) molecules are approximately 80 nucleotides in length. Their secondary structure includes four short double-helical elements and three loops (D, anti-codon, and T loops).
Source: RNAcentral